This 508-nucleotide ribosomal RNA is filed under the name uncultured bacterium. RNAcentral describes it as "partial 16S ribosomal RNA". It matches the Rfam family "Bacterial small subunit ribosomal RNA", at positions 30 to 523 of the family's 1533-position model. The record is from RNAcentral.
AUUGAACGCUGGCGGCAUGCCUUACACAUGCAAGUCGAACGACAGCGGGGGAGAAGCUUGCUUUUCCUGCCGGCGAGUGGCGAACGGGUGAGUAAUGUAUCGGACCGUACCUUUCAGUGGGGGAUAACUAUCCGAAAGGAUAGAUAAUACCGCCUAUUCGGGGAGCAGGAAAGCAGGGGAUCGCAAUACCUUGCGCUCAUUGAGCGGCCGAUAUCAGAUUAGCUAGUUGGUGGGGUAAAGGCCUACCAAGGCUACGAUCGGUAGCGGGUAUGAGAGGAUGAUCCGCCACACUGGAACUGAGACACGGUCCAGACUCCUACGGGAGGCAGCAGUGGGGAAUUUUGGACAAUGGGGGCAACCCUGAUCCAGCCAUGCCGCGUGAGUGAAGAAGGCCUUCGGGUUGUAAAGCUCUUUCGUCCGGGAAGAAAUCGCAUCAGCUAAUACCUGGUGUGGAUGACGGUACCGGAAUAAGAAGCACCGGCUAACUACGUGCCAGCCGCCGCCGUAA